CUAAAUUUAUUGUAUAAGUUCUCUAGCUAUUAACAUUCCUCGUGAAGGCCGAAAUAUGGAAUGGAAUAUUAUAUAGAUAAAUAAAUAAAUAAAUAAAUAAAUAAAUAAAUAAAUAAAUAAAUAAAUAGUAUUGUUUAUCUGCUCUUUUCACAUGCAGGCGCAGAUGAUACCGUCUCCUUCGAAGGUUCAGGAAAUAGGCCCCCACCUAGCUCUCCCCAGGCCUGCAAUGUUGCAGAAUCAUCCUCCGCCGGCAAGGCAGGGCCCUCCCACGCAGCCGGUGGAGACGUGGUUUUCGGUGGUGGAAGGAUGGACGAGGCACAGAAAAACAGAGGAGACGCUGACGACGUGGACGAAUUAGCCGGCCGGCGCCCUCGUACUCUCGGCUUGCGCGCCUUGGCACAGGUACGCGAGAUGAGCACUGUCUGGCAGCGUCGGAGCCGCCAGGGGACCAAGGCGCAGCGCCGCAGUGGAAGCGCCAGCAUCGCCAUGCAGCCAACGGUCGAGGACGAUGGUCAGUUGGCCUGAUCGUCAUCACAUGCGUACCAUUACUGUGCCACAGCACGAUGCGAGAAGGAUUGAGAAGAACGGUGGCACGUUUUGAUCUGUGUGUCCGUGGGCGCAGAUUUUAUUACUUAUG
Molecule: long non-coding RNA, 637 nt
Organism: Dermacentor andersoni
Lineage: Eukaryota; Metazoa; Arthropoda; Arachnida; Ixodida; Ixodidae
Source: RefSeq, a predicted model, not a curated record